Molecule: long non-coding RNA, 286 nt
Filed under: Olea europaea (common olive)
Lineage: Eukaryota; Viridiplantae; Streptophyta; Magnoliopsida; Lamiales; Oleaceae
Description: long non-coding RNA (OEUR_LNC007867)
Source: RNAcentral
AGAUCACAUGUAAAAGAGGUAAAUUGAUCUUUACUUGUUUAAGGUGCUCUAAGAUUUCACUAUGUUGACCAAUAGAUUUCGAGGUGGAUUUAAGAGCUUGAGGAAAGGGUACUCGCGGUGGAUUUUUCACUACCUCCUCGCUAGGGGUACUCUCUUCUGAAUUGCUAGGGUCCUUUUUAUCUUCCCUAGGUUUGGAGGUUGGUUCAAUAACCUUACCGGACCGAGUGGUUAUGGCAUUAACUUCCUUAAGGUUGUUUUCUCUUGAGCCCGAGGUUUGUGCCAUAUG